RNAcentral lists this small nuclear RNA (103 nucleotides) under Sus scrofa (pig). Lineage: Eukaryota; Metazoa; Chordata; Mammalia; Artiodactyla; Suidae. The record is from RNAcentral.
UUACUUCAGCAGUACAUAUAUUAAAAUUGGAACGAUACAGAGAAGAUUAGCAUGGCCCCUGCACAAGGAUGACACGCAAAUUUGUGAAGCAUUUCAUAUUUUU